Molecule: long non-coding RNA, 450 nt
Organism: Mauremys mutica (yellowpond turtle)
Lineage: Eukaryota; Metazoa; Chordata; Testudines; Geoemydidae
Exons: 3
Source: RefSeq, a predicted model, not a curated record
GAGAGAGUCUCUCAAGCUCUUCAAAACUUCAGCCCCCAAACUUCAGCCGCAGCCGCGAGAAAGACCUUUCAACACAGAGCUGCCGCGGGGGAGGGACCCAAGUUUGGAUCUGAAGCCUCCACAGUUUCAGAAACACACACUACUUUUCUAUAGGACCCGAGCCUUACUCAAUGAAUGGUCCCAUGACAUGUUCACCGUACACCUUCCAACUUCUGCAACAAAUGACACAGGAGUCUUGCAGACAGCAGUCUCAUUCACUACACAACAACCCUGAUUCAUUCCCAGAGCACUAUCCAUCCAUCCUGCACACCAAACAAGAUAGAGAUCUUGUGGAAAAUAAUAGUAUGUUUGUGUGUAAUUAAAGACUGUAUAUGCAUUGAUACAAGGGGGCCAAAUUAAAGUUGGAAUGGGCAACCUGAAUUCUGGCAUUUCCUAUCAUCUGAGUGUUCA